RNAcentral lists this ribosomal RNA (544 nucleotides) under uncultured bacterium. Its description in RNAcentral is "bacterial SSU rRNA". It matches the Rfam family "Bacterial small subunit ribosomal RNA", at positions 777 to 1320 of the family's 1533-position model. The record is from RNAcentral.
AAUAGAUACCCAGGUAGUCCACGCCCUAAACGAUGUCAACUGGUUGUCGGGGAAGCAAUUCCUUGGUAACGAAGCUAACGCGUGAAGUUGACCGCCUGGGGAGUACGGCCGCAAGGUUAAAACUCAAAGGAAUUGACGGGGACCCGCACAAGCGGUGGAUUAUGUGGAUUAAUUCGAUGCAACGCGAAAAACCUUACCUACCCUUGACAUGUACGGAACUUGGCAGAGAUGCCUUGGUGCCCGAAAGGGAGCCGUAACACAGGUGCUGCAUGGCUGUCGUCAGCUCGUGUCGUGAGAUGUUGGGUUAAGUCCCGCAACGAGCGCAACCCUUGUCAUUAGUUGCUACAUUCAGUUGGGCACUCUAAUGAGACUGCCGGUGACAAACCGGAGGAAGGUGGGGAUGACGUCAAGUCCUCAUGGCCCUUAUGGGUAGGGCUUCACACGUAAUACAAUGGCCGGUACAGAGGGCUGCCAACCCGGCGAGGGGGGAGCUAAUCCCAGAAAGCCGGUCGUAGUCCGGAUUGUUCUCUGCAACUCGAGAGCA